RNAcentral lists this ribosomal RNA (254 nucleotides) under uncultured bacterium. RNAcentral's name for it is "partial 16S ribosomal RNA". It matches the Rfam family "Bacterial small subunit ribosomal RNA", at positions 524 to 777 of the family's 1533-position model. The record is from RNAcentral.
UACAGAGGUCUCAAGCGUUGUUCGGAUUCAUUGGGCGUAAAGGGUGCGUAGGUGGCGCUGUAAGUCGGGUGUGAAAUUUCGGAGCUUAACUCCGAAACUGCAUUCGAUACUGCGGUGCUUGAGGACUGGAGAGGAGACUGGAAUUCAUGGUGUAGCAGUGAAAUGCGUAGAGAUCAUGAGGAAGACCAGUGGCGAAGGCGGGUCUCUGGACAGUUCCUGACACUGAGGCACGAAGGCCAGGGGAGCAAACGGGG